AACCUGCGGAGGGAUCAUUACAGAGUGUAAAAACUCCAAAACCCACUGUGUAUCUUACCUGUCUGUUGCUUCGGCAGGCGGCCCCAGGGCGGGGCCGGCCGGAGCUGCUGUGCAGCGCCUGCCGGAGGACCCACAAAACUCUUGUUAUAGUGUUACUCUGAGUAAAAAAAAACAAAUCAGUCAAAACCUUCAACAACGGAUCUCUUGGUUCUGGCAUCGAUGAAGAACGCAGCGAAAUGCGAUAAGUAAUGUGAAUUGCAGAAUUCAGUGAAUCAUCGAAUCUUUGAACGCAUAUUGCGCCCUCUAGUAUUCUAGGAGGCAUGCCUGUUCGAGCGUCAUUUCAACCCUCAAGCACUGCUUGGUGUUAAGGCCCUGUAGCGGUCUGCUACAGGCCCUAAAAGACAGUGGCGGGCUUGUCACGAUCCCGAGCGUAGUAAUUUGUUUCUCGCUUAGGGUUUCUGGCGGGUUCCCAGCCGUUAAACCCCCAUCUCUUUCAAGGUGACCUCGGAU
RNAcentral lists this ribosomal RNA (510 nucleotides) under Diluviicola aquatica. Its description in RNAcentral is "eukaryotic LSU rRNA". The stretch from base 185 to 338 matches the Rfam family "5.8S ribosomal RNA". Lineage: Eukaryota; Fungi; Ascomycota; Sordariomycetes. The record is from RNAcentral.